AAUAAAAAUGAAAAAAGAGAUCAGCUCUUAUCUGCUCGACUUCGCUCCUCACUCCUUAGCCGAGAGUAGCCAUGAAGUCUCAUGACUCUCAUAUGAAAUUUCAUGAACCUGAUCCUCAAUUCCUCACCCAGUUUUCAAAUUUCAACCCAAUCUGAGUAUUUGAUUCUGACUCAAAUUCUCCAAGUCUCCAUACUUCAAUCUGAGCGCAUGGAUAAACUCUUUGAACAGCCUUAAAUCCUACUCUUCGGGAGAGCGGAAGCCGGAACUCUGGAAGACGAGCGGUGACAGUAUAUGUAUCGCCGUAUCCCUGUAUCGGUCUUUGUUUGAAAUUGCUCCAUUGCUUGUUGCUGCUUGUAUUGCUCGUUUGUAUCAGUGAUUCGGUGUAUUGGUCUUCAAGCUAGUGAAGUGCUACUCUUUAAGUCUUUAUAUGAAAGACAAAAAGAGAAUUGGAUAAUUAUGCUUGGUUAAUGGUUAGUUGGAUAAUUAUGCUUAGCUGGAUAAUGACGUUGACGU
Molecule: long non-coding RNA, 513 nt
Organism: Rosa chinensis
Lineage: Eukaryota; Viridiplantae; Streptophyta; Magnoliopsida; Rosales; Rosaceae
Exons: 2
Source: RefSeq, a predicted model, not a curated record